GAUGAACGCUGGCGGCGUGCUUAACACAUGCAAGUCGAACGGAAAGGCUCCUGCUUGCUGGGGUACUCGAGUGGCGAACGGGUGAGUAACACGUGGGUGAUCUGCCCUGCACUUCGGGAUAAGCCUGGGAAACUGGGUCUAAUACCGGAUAGGACCACAUUUUGGAUGGUGUGGUGGAAAGUUUUUCGGUGUGGGAUGAGCUCGCGGCCUAUCAGCUUGUUGGUGGGGUAAUGGCCUACCAAGGCGUCGACGGGUAGCCGGCCUGAGAGGGUGUACGGCCACAUUGGGACUGAGAUACGGCCCAGACUCCUACGGGAGGCAGCAGUGGGGAAUAUUGCACAAUGGGCGCAAGCCUGAUGCAGCGACGCCGCGUGGGGGAUGACGGCCUUCGGGUUGUAAACUCCUUUCGCUAGGGACGAAGCGCAAGUGACGGUACCUGGAGAAGAAGCACCGGCUAACUACGUG
Molecule: ribosomal RNA, 465 nt
Filed under: uncultured bacterium
Lineage: Bacteria
Description: partial 16S ribosomal RNA
Rfam family: Bacterial small subunit ribosomal RNA
Source: RNAcentral